UAUAUUCUAGUAUAAUAUGUACAAAAAUUUUUGAAAUUUUUAGAAGCAGUAUAAUUCUGCUGAAUAUAA
This 69-nucleotide transfer RNA is filed under the name Tyraphus nitidus. RNAcentral's name for it is "tRNA-Gln". Lineage: Eukaryota; Metazoa; Arthropoda; Insecta; Coleoptera; Staphylinidae. The record is from RNAcentral.